GUCCACGCCGUAAACGAUGGAUACUAGCUGUUCGGGGCAACCUGAGUGGCUAAGCGAAAGUGAUAAGUAUCCCACCUGGGGAGUACGUUCGCAAGAAUGAAACUCAAAGGAAUUGACGGGGGCCCGCACAAGCGGUGGAGCAUGUGGUUUAAUUCGAUGAUACGCGAGGAACCUUACCAAGGCUUAAAUGUAGAUUGACAGGACUGGAAACAGUUUUUUCUCGGACAAUUUACAAGGUGCUGCAUGGUUGUCGU
RNAcentral lists this ribosomal RNA (254 nucleotides) under uncultured bacterium. Its description in RNAcentral is "partial 16S ribosomal RNA". It matches the Rfam family "Bacterial small subunit ribosomal RNA", at positions 793 to 1055 of the family's 1533-position model. The record is from RNAcentral.